CUCCAAGAUAAUAUUUCACUGGAACGUACAUACUGCUUUUGAAACUGAAUGAGUAGUAGGAUGUAAAAUCUGUUGGUGGCAUCUACCAACUCACUUGCCUGGGCAAGGUUUGGGACGUCAACUUCAUAUGCUAAAAAAUCUCUAUUCAGGUGCAAGGUGUCAUAGGGUUGAUAUUCAAAGCAAUUUAAAUAGCUGGAAAUCAGUAUAAUGUAUAUAUUUUUUUCUAUUAAAUUACCAUAAUAAACUGUAAAUAAAGAUGGGAAUCUAUUUUUGAAUUGUGAUUAAAUCUCAUGAAAUACAACCCAUAGCAAACAAAUGUUGAAAUGUGAUGUAUUGAUGAACCCCUCCUCACUACAGUAGUUUCAAUUUUAGCUACCCACAUUCUCACAUGCGCAGUUGAAACUGCAGUCAGUCACUGAAAGAAGUCGUUGGAAUCCAGUGGUCAUAAGACGAAGUCAGAACUGUUUGCCUGAAAUAAAAGUAGUUAUUGAACUUCAGUUUGCAUAUCAGUGAUGUCGGAGAUGGGCUCUUUCAAGAAGUUGGAUGACACAAAAUUUACCAUUUUAAAAGCAUUGCGUGCCUGAGGCAAUUGUAACCCACCUAUAAGGUUACUGAAGUGCAACACUCUACUCUGCCUGCAGGUGGCCCAUACACCCCAGGUAAUUCACCUAAAAACAAGCACGCUUUUUCUCCGGUGAAGAAGUUGCUAGAAAGCAAACAAGGACUGGUUAAAAGCUGUGUAAGAGAGAGUUAAGCCGCAUGACAGCGAGCUUCUCAAGAUACCUCCGAUUGGUUUGUAGAAAGGGAUAGACCACCUGAAUCUGACCACUAGGUCAGUGGCCAGCUGUGGCAUCUUUGGACCAGCAUCAUCCUGUGCCUUCAUUUGUGAUACAGAUAAGAACAUAGGUUCUCGGUGAACUUUGCAGGAUUGUCAGCAAAGACAACACUGCUUACAUUAAGGAGGUGAAGGAGCGCUGGGACACCUUCCAGAGUCUAACGGUCUUUUACAGUAUUAUGAAAAAGGUGAUGAAACCACAGAUGAAAUUUAACACAGAGGAACGAGCCAUCAACAUGUUGAAGUCCCUGCCAAGAAGUUGGGAUGAGAGUGUGAGGCCCUGUUUCAUGUCCUGAUGCCUUCAGAGGAUCCAAACACUUAUCUGCAGAGGAGGCCCCUUUCCUGCCCUGUCCUGAUUGUGGAUAAAGAAAACUGCAUGGUGGCAAUCGGGACCACCCCAGUAGCAACCUUCCCCAAGAACCAUCUGCAUGAGGGAGCCCUUUAUUUGAUGGUGUAUUAUUAUGCCCUGCACAUGACCUACUCAAAGUGCAUUGCUACUCUGCUCUCAGUUCUUCAAACAGAGAUACUGCAAGAUGAGAUCCAUGAGAGGGACACAACUUCAUCCUACAGGAGGGCCAUGGCUGAGUGGAAGAAGUUUAUUGGAGAGGCUUGUCUUCGAAGCGCUUGCAUUAUGUUCCUUUUUUCUGAGUUUGUUGGCUGAUCUUGUAUGAGAAGAUGUAUCUCCGUUUAUAGACGUUACUAAAUAAGGCCUACGUCAUUUAAGUUUUUUAUUUUGAAACUCAAGGACGCUAUCCUCCUUUCUCCAUUGGAUUUUGCCCUUAUGAGCAUCUCUCACCCCAGACUGACUAAUCUACAAGCUGUUUUAUCAUUUAAUCCUUAUUUGCUGAUAUCAACAAUUCAAUUCUGUAUAUCCACAAUUCAAUUCUUGAUAUCAAUAUUUGCUGUACAUUCUUGAUAUCAAGAGUUGAAUUGGUGAUCUCAAGAGUUGAAUUCUUAAUAUAAACAGUUCAUGCAAACCGUUUUUACAUUUAUUUAAUAAUUAAAUUGUGGAUAUCAACAAUUCAGUUUUUGAUAUCAAAAUAUGUGCACCUAUUUCUGAUGUCAACCAUUGAAUUGUUGAUAUAAAAAAAUUCCUUUUUUGAUAUCAAGGAUUGAAUUGCUGAUAUUGGCAAUUAAAGAUUAAAUGUUAAAACGGCUUGCCAUACCUGCCUACCUCAUUUCAUUCAGACACACCUCACUUCGGACUCUUUGCUGACGUGAGCGUGGAAGUACCUACUGUACCACCACAAGAGUAGCUGCUGCACUAAACACUUUUUUUUUGGAGGGGGGAAUAUAGUCUUAAUGAGAAUGUUAUCAGGGCAUAUUAUCACCCACCCCUACUUAAUGUAAAAAAAAAAGAGUAGUUUGAGACUCUUGCCAAACAUUGUGUGUUGAAUCAUUGAAUAAAUGACCAUCUGGGGGAA
Silurus meridionalis is the source of this 2259-nucleotide long non-coding RNA. RefSeq lists it as uncharacterized. The record is from RefSeq and is a predicted model, not a curated record. The transcript has 8 exons. NCBI's taxonomy places the organism in Eukaryota, Metazoa, Chordata, Actinopteri, Siluriformes, Siluridae.